GGAAGUAAAAGUCGUAACAAAGUUUCCGUAGGUGAACCUGCGGAAGGAUCAUUAUUGUAUAACCGAGGUGCGAGGGCUGUCGCUGACCCGAAAGGUCGUGCACGCCCGAGUGCCCUCACACACAUCCAUCUCACCCCUAUGUGCACCACCGCGUGGGUCCCCCUUUGGCUUGUUCGGAGGGGGGCUUACGUUUUCACACAAACUUUGUAUGCAGUGUAGAAUGUAUUUUUUGUUUUUGCGAUCACGCAAUCAAUACAACUUUCAACAACGGAUCUCUUGGCUCUU
Molecule: unclassified non-coding RNA, 285 nt
Filed under: plant metagenome
Description: partial contains small subunit ribosomal RNA, internal transcribed spacer 1, and 5.8S ribosomal RNA
Rfam family: Eukaryotic small subunit ribosomal RNA (bases 1-54)
Source: RNAcentral